UACGGAGGGUGCUAGCGUUGUUCGGAAUUACUGGGCGUAAAGGGCGCGUAGGCGGCCCGCUAAGUCGAACGUGAAAUCCCCGGGCUCAACCCGGGAACUGCGUCCGAUACUGGUGGGCUUGAAUCCGGGAGAGGGAUGCGGAAUUCCAGGUGUAGCGGUGAAAUGCGUAGAUAUCUGGAGGAACACCGGUGGCGAAGGCGGCAUCCUGGACCGGUAUUGACGCUGAGGCGCGAAAGCCAGGGGAGCAAACGGG
Molecule: ribosomal RNA, 253 nt
Filed under: uncultured bacterium
Lineage: Bacteria
Description: partial 16S ribosomal RNA
Rfam family: Bacterial small subunit ribosomal RNA
Source: RNAcentral